Molecule: ribosomal RNA, 497 nt
Filed under: uncultured bacterium
Lineage: Bacteria
Description: partial 16S ribosomal RNA
Rfam family: Bacterial small subunit ribosomal RNA
Source: RNAcentral
GAUGAACGCUGGCGGCGUGCCUAAUACAUGCAAGUCGAGCGAACAGACGAGGAGCUUGCUCCUCUGACGUUAGCGGCGGACGGGUGAGUAACACGUGGAUAACCUACCUAUAAGACUGGGAUAACUUCGGGAAACCGGAGCUAAUACCGGAUAAUAUAUUGAACCGCAUGGUUCAAUAGUGAAAGACGGUUUUGCUGUCACUUAUAGAUGGAUCCGCGCCGCAUUAGCUAGUUGGUAAGGUAACGGCUUACCAAGGCAACGAUGCGUAGCCGACCUGAGAGACUGAUAGGCGACAUGGGAGCUGAGACGCGGUCCAGACUCCUGAGGGAGGCAGCAGUAGGGAACCUUACGCAAUGGGCGAAAGCCUGACGGAGCAACGCCGCGUGAGUGAUGAAGGUCUUCGGAUCGUAAAACUCUGUUAUUAGGGAAGAACAAAUGUGUAAGUAACUAUGCACGUCUUGACGGUACCUAAUCAGAAAGCCACGGCUAACUACGUG